Molecule: transfer RNA, 71 nt
Filed under: Candidatus Dadabacteria bacterium
Lineage: Bacteria; Pseudomonadati; Thermodesulfobacteriota; Candidatus Dadabacteria
Description: tRNA-Leu
Rfam family: tRNA
About the family: Transfer RNA (tRNA) molecules are approximately 80 nucleotides in length. Their secondary structure includes four short double-helical elements and three loops (D, anti-codon, and T loops). Further hydrogen bonds mediate the characteristic L-shaped molecular structure. tRNAs have two regions of fundamental functional importance: the anti-codon, which is responsible for specific mRNA codon recognition, and the 3' end, to which the tRNAs corresponding amino acid is attached (by aminoacyl-tRNA synthetases). tRNAs cope with the degeneracy of the genetic code in two manners: having more than one tRNA (with a specific anti-codon) for a particular amino acid; and 'wobble' base-pairing, i.e. permitting non-standard base-pairing at the 3rd anti-codon position.
Source: RNAcentral
GGGGGUGUAGUAUUAACCGGGGAAAUAGCCCACUAACCGGGAAGUUGCGGGUUCGAGACCCGUCACCUCCA